This 818-nucleotide ribosomal RNA is filed under the name Staphylococcus aureus. RNAcentral describes it as "bacterial SSU rRNA". It matches the Rfam family "Bacterial small subunit ribosomal RNA", at positions 134 to 938 of the family's 1533-position model. The record is from RNAcentral. Lineage: Bacteria; Bacillati; Bacillota; Bacilli; Caryophanales; Staphylococcaceae.
AAGACUGGGAUAACUUCGGGAAACCGGAGCUAAUACCGGAUAAUAUUUUGAACCGCAUGGUUCAAAAGUGAAAGACGGUCUUGCUGUCACUUAUAGAUGGAUCCGCGCUGCAUUAGCUAGUUGGUAAGGUAACGGCUUACCAAGGCAACGAUGCAUAGCCGACCUGAGAGGGUGAUCGGCCACACUGGAACUGAGACACGGUCCAGACUCCUACGGGAGGCAGCAGUAGGGAAUCUUCCGCAAUGGGCGAAAGCCUGACGGAGCAACGCCGCGUGAGUGAUGAAGGUCUUCGGAUCGUAAAACUCUGUUAUUAGGGAAGAACAUAUGUGUAAGUAACUGUGCACAUCUUGACGGUACCUAAUCAGAAAGCCACGGCUAACUACGUGCCAGCAGCCGCGGUAAUACGUAGGUGGCAAGCGUUAUCCGGAAUUAUUGGGCGUAAAGCGCGCGUAGGCGGUUUUUUAAGUCUGAUGUGAAAGCCCACGGCUCAACCGUGGAGGGUCAUUGGAAACUGGAAAACUUGAGUGCAGAAGAGGAAAGUGGAAUUCCAUGUGUAGCGGUGAAAUGCGCAGAGAUAUGGAGGAACACCAGUGGCGAAGGCGACUUUCUGGUCUGUAACUGACGCUGAUGUGCGAAAGCGUGGGGAUCAAACAGGAUUAGAUACCCUGGUAGUCCACGCCGUAAACGAUGAGUGCUAAGUGUUAGGGGGUUUCCGCCCCUUAGUGCUGCAGCUAACGCAUUAAGCACUCCGCCUGGGGAGUACGACCGCAAGGUUGAAACUCAAAGGAAUUGACGGGGGCCCGCACAAGCGGUGGAGC